This 467-nucleotide ribosomal RNA is filed under the name uncultured bacterium. Its description in RNAcentral is "partial 16S ribosomal RNA". It matches the Rfam family "Bacterial small subunit ribosomal RNA", at positions 28 to 506 of the family's 1533-position model. The record is from RNAcentral.
GACGAACGCUGGCGGCGUGCUUAACACAUGCAAGUCGAACGGAAAGGCCCUGCUUUUGUGGGGUGCUCGAGUGGCGAACGGGUGAGUAACACGUGAGUAACCUGCCCUUGACUUUGGGAUAACUUCAGGAAACUGGGGCUAAUACCGGAUAGGAGCUCCUGCUGCAUGGUGGGGGUUGGAAAGUUUCGGCGGUUGGGGAUGGACUCGCGGCUUAUCAGCUUGUUGGUGGGGUAGUGGCUUACCAAGGCUUUGACCGGUAGCCGGCCUGAGAGGGUGACCGGCCACAUUGGGACUGAGAUACGGCCCAGACUCCUACGGGAGGCAGCAGUGGGGAAUAUUGCACAAUGGGCGGAAGCCUGAUGCAGCAACGCCGCGUGCGGGAUGACGGCCUUCGGGUUGUAAACCGCUUUCGCCUGUGACGAAGCGUGAGUGACGGUAAUGGGUAAAGAAGCACCGGCUAACUACGU